GUGAUAAAUUUAACGGCCGCGGUACCCUAACCGUGCAAAGGUAGCAUAAUCACUUGUUCUUUAAAUAAGGACUUGUAUCAGCGGCAUCACGAGGGUUCUACUGUCUCCUCUCUCCAAUCAGUGAAACUGAUCUCCCCAUGAAAAAGUGGGGAUAAACUUAUAAGACGAGAAGACCCCAUGGAGCUUUAAAACCUAUAGCAACCUAGCAAACACUUCCAUCUAGCUAUAAAAUAAUGCUCAAGGACUUUAGGUUGGGAGGACCACGGAGCACAAAAUAACCUCCGUAAUGAAAAGAAUAAGAUCUUUACCAAAGAGCCACAACUCUAAGAAUUAGAAAACUAACGUACAUGACCCGAUAUCGAUCAAUGAACUAAGUUACCCUGGGGAUAACAGCGCAAUCCACUCUGAGAGUUCAUAUCGACGAGCGGGCUUACGACCUCGAUGUUGGAUCAGGGUAUCCUGGUGGUGCAGCCGCUACCGAAGGUUCGUUUGUUCAACGAUUAAAACCC
This 509-nucleotide ribosomal RNA is filed under the name Pseudophilautus wynaadensis. Its description in RNAcentral is "partial large subunit ribosomal RNA". It matches the Rfam family "Bacterial large subunit ribosomal RNA", at positions 1910 to 2596 of the family's 2925-position model. Lineage: Eukaryota; Metazoa; Chordata; Amphibia; Anura; Rhacophoridae. The record is from RNAcentral.